GAUUUCUGACGAACCGGAGUGGCCCGUUUCCUCUCUGGGAAUGAGUGCCGCUUUGAGUUUGUCAUCCUUCCAGAGAGCUGCGUCUACCGUUUACUCGGCCGGACGUAUGCGAUCUGGAUCUAUUACUUUGAAAAAAUUAGAGUGUUUAAAGCAGGCUUUUUGCUAUGAAUACAUUAGCAUGGAAUAAUAAUUUAGGACUUUGGCCCUAUUUUGUUGGUUUCUAGGACUGAAGUAAUGAUUGAUAGGGAUAGUUGGGGGUGCUCGAAUUCAGCGGCCAGAGGUGAAAUUCUUGGAUUCGCUGAAGACGAACUCAUGCGAAAGCAUU
Molecule: ribosomal RNA, 325 nt
Filed under: Euglypha sp. (in: cercozoans)
Lineage: Eukaryota; Cercozoa; Imbricatea; Euglyphida; Euglyphidae
Description: SSU rRNA
Rfam family: Eukaryotic small subunit ribosomal RNA (bases 112-325)
Source: RNAcentral